AGCAGCCGCGGUAAUUCCAGCUCCAAUAGCGUAUAUUAAAGUUGUUGCAGUUAAAAAGCUCGUAGUUGAAUUUCGGGAUCAAUUUGCUGGUCGUGCCUCUGGUACGUACUGGUAUUAUUGGUUUCUCCCUUCUGACGAACCAUGAUGUCAUUAAUUUGAUGUCGUGGAGAAUCAGGACUGUUACUUUGAAAAAUUAGAGUGUUUAAAGCAGGCAUUAGCUUGAAUACAUUAGCAUGGAAUAAUGAAAUAGGACGUUUGAUCCUAUUUUGUUGGUUUCUAGGAUUGACGUAAUGAUUAAUAGGGAUAGUUGGGGGCAUUAGUAUUCAAUUGUCAGAGGUGAAAUUCUUGGAUUUAUUGAAGACUAACUACUGCGAAAGCAUUUGCCAAGGAUGUUUUCAUUAAUCAAGAACGAAAGUUGGGGGAUCGAAGACGAUCAGAUACCGUCGUAGUCUUAACCAUAAACUAUGCCGACUAGGGAUCGGAUGAUGUUAAUUUUUAAUGUACUCAUUCGGUACCG
This 517-nucleotide unclassified non-coding RNA is filed under the name uncultured Glomus. Its description in RNAcentral is "SSU rRNA". It matches the Rfam family "Eukaryotic small subunit ribosomal RNA", at positions 569 to 1088 of the family's 1831-position model. Lineage: Eukaryota; Fungi; Glomeromycota; Glomeromycetes; Glomerales; Glomeraceae. The record is from RNAcentral.